This 253-nucleotide ribosomal RNA is filed under the name uncultured bacterium. RNAcentral describes it as "partial 16S ribosomal RNA". It matches the Rfam family "Bacterial small subunit ribosomal RNA", at positions 524 to 776 of the family's 1533-position model. The record is from RNAcentral.
UACGAAGGGGGCUAGCGUUGCUCGGAAUCACUGGGCGUAAAGCGCACGUAGGCGGAUUGCUAAGUCAGGGGUGAAAUCCUGGAGCUCAACUCCAGAACUGCCUUUGGUACUGGCGAUCUUGAGUCCGGGAGAGGUGAGUGGAACUGCGAGUGUAGAGGUGAAAUUCGUAGAUAUUCGCAAGAACACCAGUGGCGAAGGCGGCUCGCUGGCCCGGUACUGACGCUGAGGUGCGAAAGCGUGGGGAGCAAACAGG